CCUACGGGAGGCAUCAGUGGGGAAUUUUGGACAAUGGACGCAAGUCUGAUCCAGCCAUUCCGCGUGCAGGACGAAGGCCUUCGGGUUGUAAACUGCUUUUGUACGGAACGAAAAAGCCUUGGCUAAUACCCGGGGUCCAUGACGGUACCGUAAGAAUAAGCACCGGCUAACUACGUGCCAGCAGCCGCGGUAAUACGUAGGGUGCGAGCGUUAAUCGGAAUUACUGGGCGUAAAGCGUGCGCAGGCGGUUUUGUAAGACAGAGGUGAAAUCCCCGGGCUCAACCUGGGAACUGCCUUUGUGACUGCAAGGCUAGAGUGCGGCAGAGGGGGAUGGAAUUCCGCGUGUAGCAGUGAAAUGCGUAGAUAUGCGGAGGAACACCGAUGGCGAAGGCAAUCCCCUGGGCCUGCACUGACGCUCAUGCACGAAAGCGUGGGGAGCAAACAGGAUUAGAUACCCUGGUAGUCCACGCCCUAAACGAUGUCAACUGGUUGUUGGGUCUUUGCUGACUCAGUAACGAAGCUAACGCGUGAAGUUGACCGCCUGGGGAGUACGGCCGCAAGGUUGAAACUCAAAUGAAUUGACGG
RNAcentral lists this ribosomal RNA (585 nucleotides) under uncultured bacterium. RNAcentral's name for it is "bacterial SSU rRNA". It matches the Rfam family "Bacterial small subunit ribosomal RNA", at positions 338 to 916 of the family's 1533-position model. The record is from RNAcentral.